Molecule: non-coding RNA, 114 nt
Filed under: uncultured Mamiellales
Lineage: Eukaryota; Viridiplantae; Chlorophyta; Mamiellophyceae; Mamiellales
Source: RNAcentral
UUUUUUUUCUUCUUCUUCUUCUUCUUCUUCUUUUCCUUUUUGCUUGUCCAUCAACACGUGAGUCAAGUGAAAACCCAAUCAUCAAGAUGGGACGCAAGAAAGGAGAAAAGAAAA